Molecule: non-coding RNA, 393 nt
Organism: Camellia sinensis
Lineage: Eukaryota; Viridiplantae; Streptophyta; Magnoliopsida; Ericales; Theaceae
Source: RefSeq, a predicted model, not a curated record
UUGCCAUCAAGAGGUUAUUCGACUCACAAUUCUCUGAAGGACACUUUAUGUCCGAGUUUGCAAGAUGUAGUUGAUGACUCUCUGAUCGGGUUGGGAUUCAAUGGUGAGAUCUUUGAGUUCAUGAAUAUUGCAUGCAAAUGCAUUCAGUCGGUGCUAGAGCAGAAGCCAACAAUGCUGGAAGUGUACCAAACAAUGAGGGCCACUGGGGAGAAACAUGGCCUUGUGGACGAUUCUGAGAUGUGGAAAGAAACAAAAAUUGCUACUGCCAGUGCUAGUGAGGGAGAUGUUGAAAUAAUAGGGUAGAUGAAAUAGGCUGGACAAGCCAAAUUCGAUGGGAAACAUUGUGUGAUUUACUUAAUUUUUAAUGCAAUAUUAUCAUCAUUAUUAGGAGCA